CUCUUUGCAAGAGGACAGCUGAAGAGGUGUAAUUUAACAGCCUUCAGAAGCCCGUCACUGGAGUGAUUGAGGUGGACAGAAGGCAUGGACAUGACCACGGCUCUUAAAAGACACAAACAGGAUUCUGACAGGAAGGCAUAGAAAUGCAAGCCAACCCUGCCAGCUCUGGAAAUAAAUAAAUAACAAGCCACGUUCUACACUCCUCAAUGGGGGCAGAAGCCUGCGGGCCAAGAAAGCCCACAGAGGAGGAGGGACCCGCCUGCAACUUUUCCCCAGGCCUGGACAAGCGAUGCUCCAAUACUCCGAAGUUCGCAUACUAGAGGCCGCAGUCAUCUUCCGAGGGAGUGGCCCCCUGCUCUGGCUGGUCAAACGGAACCAAGUCCGUCUUCCUGAGAGGUUUGGUCCCCUUCAACCAGCUACAGCAGGGCUGGCAAAGCCCAGUCUUUGGAGAAAGAGAAGAGAAGAGAACUUAGCUGCUACAGCCUUCCUUACAAAAAGCAGUUCUGGUUUUGUCAUCAUCGUCCCGAGCUCCCAGAAAGAAAGAAGAAAGAAAGAAGCCUAGGUCCACAAGAGAUCAUAGGUCUCGUACUCAACAUACAGAAUCCUUUGCCUUUGUUCCUGCAGUUAAAGCCAUGUAUAUACUUUCACAUACACUCACCAAUAAUGUUAAGGAUGGCUCCUAAGCCAACCUUAAGCCAGCCAGGGACAGAAUAUGAUACAUAGGAGAUAGGUCUUCUGCUUAGGAGGACAAAGAAGCAUAAGUAGGGCAAUUGACCAUGGAAAUACAGCACACCUCAAUUGAAUUGCAGGCUAGAACAUGGUUAAUCCAAGAUAUACUUCUUACAUAGUUCACUGAGUUUGCUUGUGACAUUCUAUAUCAUUCUCCAUGAAGCCAAGGGUUUUGUGUACACUGAAAUUAAAAUACACAUAAAGAGGUUAUAAAGCUCCCAGUAGCUGGUACCUGUGGUUAUGGUGAAACCUUGGCUUCCUGUUUGAAUUCUGCCCCUCUUAACUAUUAGGUAUGAUAUCAGUGCAAUCAAAUAGCUGUUACCUCUGUGAAAAAAGGAAGAAAGAAAGAAGGAAAGAAAGGAAGGAAGGAAGGAAGGAAGGAAGGAAGGAAGGAAGGAAAAAGAGAAGGAAAGAAAAGAAAAACAUUUAGUUGCUGAAUUAGUAAAAUUAGUAAAUAGAAUUAGUGACAGUGACCUCAUCACUCCUCUGAUUUUGAAAAGAUAGUGUUUGUAAAUAACCAACCAACCGUACGCAUUCAGGGAACAUGUAUCUUGCUACUAUGAGUGCCAAUAAUACAGUGAUAAUAUUUUA
Meriones unguiculatus (Mongolian gerbil) is the source of this 1320-nucleotide long non-coding RNA. RefSeq lists it as uncharacterized. The record is from RefSeq and is a predicted model, not a curated record. The transcript is spliced from 3 exons. NCBI's taxonomy places the organism in Eukaryota, Metazoa, Chordata, Mammalia, Rodentia, Muridae.